This 357-nucleotide ribosomal RNA is filed under the name Bacillus sp. R-45997. RNAcentral describes it as "bacterial SSU rRNA". It matches the Rfam family "Bacterial small subunit ribosomal RNA", at positions 119 to 468 of the family's 1533-position model. Lineage: Bacteria; Bacillati; Bacillota; Bacilli; Caryophanales; Bacillaceae. The record is from RNAcentral.
GGGCAACCUGCCUGUAAGACUGGGAUAACUCCGGGAAACCGGGGCUAAUACCGGAUAAUUCUUUCCCUCACAUGARGGAAAGCUGAAAGAUGGUUUCGGCUAUCACUUACAGAUGGGCCCGCGGCGCAUUAGCUAGUUGGUGAGGUAACGGCUCACCAAGGCAACGAUGCGUAGCCGACCUGAGAGGGUGAUCGGCCACACUGGGACUGAGACACGGCCCAGACUCCUACGGGAGGCAGCAGUAGGGAAUCUUCCGCAAUGGACGAAAGUCUGACGGAGCAACGCCGCGUGAGUGAUGAAGGUUUUCGGAUCGUAAAACUCUGUUGUUAGGGAAGAACAAGUACCGGAGUAACUGCC